RNAcentral lists this ribosomal RNA (448 nucleotides) under uncultured bacterium. RNAcentral's name for it is "partial 16S ribosomal RNA". It matches the Rfam family "Bacterial small subunit ribosomal RNA", at positions 329 to 794 of the family's 1533-position model. The record is from RNAcentral.
UGCCAGACUCCUACGGGAGGCAGCAGUGGGGAAUAUUGCACAAUGGGGGAAACCCUGAUGCAGCGACGCCGCGUGAGCGAUGAAGUAUUUCGGUAUGUAAAGCUCUAUCAGCAGGGAAGAAGAUGACGGUACCUGACUAAGAAGCCCCGGCUAACUACGUGCCAGCAGCCGCGGUAAUACGUAGGGGGCAAGCGUUAUCCGGAUUUACUGGGUGUAAAGGGAGCGUAGACGGCGAUGCAAGCCAGAUGUGAAAGCCCGGGGCUCAACCCCGGGACUGCAUUUGGAACUGUGUGGCUGGAGUGUCGGAGAGGCAGGCGGAAUUCCUAGUGUAGCGGUGAAAUGCGUAGAUAUUAGGAGGAACACCAGUGGCGAAGGCGGCCUGCUGGACGAUGACUGACGUUGAGGCUCGAAAGCGUGGGGAGCAAACAGGAUUAGAUACCCUUGUACC